UUUGACCCGCCCACUUAAUAUUGCCAUGAUCACUUAUCCCUCCCUUUCCCUCUCUUCCUCUCUCUCCCCCUCUCCUCUCUAUUCUUAUACAGGUCUAGUAGUGUCCUUAUUUUCCAUUGGUUGUUUCAUUGGUGCUUUAGUCUCAGGAGGUACACUACAGAUCAUGUGAUAAUCAUGUGACAUGUGCGUCAUUAUUUUGUAGCAUUGUCUGAUUCGAUUGGUUGGAAGCUAUCAAUCAUUGUGGGUGGAGUAAUUUUUUUUUAUUGGUGGUGCCUUGCAAGCAUCUUUUAAUUUAUGGAUGGUAUUGGUUGGUCGAAUGGUUGCUGGGAUUGGUGUAGGUAUAUUGAGCAUGAUUGUUCCUGUAUAUAAUGCUGAGCU
Molecule: long non-coding RNA, 378 nt
Organism: Amphimedon queenslandica
Lineage: Eukaryota; Metazoa; Porifera; Demospongiae; Haplosclerida; Niphatidae
Exons: 3
Source: RefSeq, a predicted model, not a curated record